Non-coding RNA from Ictidomys tridecemlineatus (thirteen-lined ground squirrel), 2646 nucleotides. NCBI's taxonomy places the organism in Eukaryota, Metazoa, Chordata, Mammalia, Rodentia, Sciuridae. The record is from RefSeq and is a predicted model, not a curated record.
CCCAUAACAGAAAUGACUGAUUCAAAAGUAUACUUUUUCUUUACUUCCUGAUGGAUCUGUCAAGUGUUAUAAAGGAAUUCUGAAACCUUCUAGUGUAACAGUAGAAUAUUUAAUUUCUCAUUGUAGUUCCUUCAAUGUUUUGUCUAUUUUGUUUUUUUUCCUGGUAUGCUCCUUCUCUUGCCAUUCAGAAACGAUCAUGUUCCAGCAGUAAUUGAGCCUGUGUGUGUUAAACACUCUAGUCCCAUAUCCACAGUUAGGAAGCCCCUGGAGUGUUUCUUCAGCAAACCAAUAUACUGACAGUUACUCUAUAUUUCCCUAGAUUGCUAUGAAGUCAUAAUAGAGGUGGUAUCUUCUGAUUUGGGAAAAGACCAAAUACAUCGUAUUGCUGAGUGUUCACUGUAGGUGACUCAUAGGUGGUGGAAUUACAACUGCUCAUCUAUUCCCUGUGAGAAUGAUUCAAGAUGACAUUCACAUAUGAGAACAACAAUUGUCAAAUGAUUGUAAUGCCCUCUGCCUUACUUUGUGAUCUUUGCCCCAACUGCUGUUUCCCAUCUAGUUAACUAAUGUCACCAUAGCCAACAGUAGACUUGUGAAAAUGAUCUCCUGCUCACACUGUCUUCCUUUCUGUAACUACAGGUAGCCUCUGCAGCAAAUGAGCAAAUUCCCCCAAAUGGCAUGGUGGAGUUCAUUCCUGAAGAAAGCAUGAGUCGAGAGACCCCAUCAAAAGCCAUUGAGGAUUCAAGAGGAUCCAUAGUUGGUAUGUAUCCUGACCUCACUCUCUUCCUGUUGCAAAAUGUAAAUGAUGCCAAGAGUCGGAGAGUCUUCCUUCAUUUUGAGUGCAGAGUCUCAGUGAUUCUACUACCUCCUUGAGAAUGAGAAGUGAGGGGGUUGUGGUCCAAGUUAAUUUAAAAAAAAAUCUAUGGCAUUCUGCAUAUUUUUUGAAGCACCUGAGUGAGUUGAGCAAAGUGGUUAGGUCAAUGAGAGUUUUAUACAUGUGUCUCUGUGCAUCCAUGCAACAUGAUUCUGAGUGUGCCUUUGUGUUCGUUUUUGCACAUUUGUUGUUUCUCUAGAUAUAUACAUGCCAAGAUGCCAAUGUCCACAUGUUUAAAUAAAAAAAGCCAUCUCCAUUAGACCAUGAUUUUGUAUAUGUGUAAAUAGAUCAAAGUGUAAACUUUCCAUGUGUGCAGUUCAUUCCACACCAAUACCUCAAUUAAUAUGCAAAACAUAUCCCAUCAAAACCCAGAAAAUUUUCACGACACUCUAUAAGGAAAAAGCUCGGGUUCAUUCCUGUCACUGCACCAGUAGCUACUUUGUUUAAUAGCAAACCUCACCUUUCAGUAGGCCCUGUAUUUAGUCAGUGCAUGUGAUUGUUCACAACAUUUCACUCAUGAAAAAUUUUCAAGUUCAUAUACAUUUUCUGUUAGAGGUACAUUCUAGGCACAAGUUUCUGGACAUGGCCAAUCCUUAACAGUGACCCUCAGGUCCACCAAUACACUAUGCUCACUUAUGGUGGGUAUCUGAGACAGAGGAGAUACACAGGCCAGAGGUUACUGUAGCUAAGGAAGGGCUUACUUUGCAUGUUCCAACUGACACUGAAAGCUACCUUAUUGGGUCUUUUUGUAGACAUUUAUUUGUAGAAACAUGUUUUAACUGGAUGGAUUUUCAUAGGGCCUGAUCAGCACAACUGCAGCUCAUCUAGUAACAGAGCAAAAGGUGGGCUCUAGUGAAGGUCCAGCUCAGCACAGCAGUGGUGUCAGAUCCCUAGUUUAGAUCUGUGCUGCUCCCUGUGUGGCCUGCAGGAUAUCACAUUGACAGUAUAUAUGAUAGGUCUUCAUAGUGUCAGUCUCAAAUGCUGUAUAGGUCCUUCUAUUCAUACAUAUAUAGAUACUGACACUGACUGGUCACUGUGAGGGUAGAACCACUGUGGUCAUCAUUCUUUCUCAUCCCUGAACUCCUCUCUGGGUAGAGUGUCUUCAUCUUAGUCCAUGUCAUCAUUUGAUAAAUGCAACUCUAUGCUAAGAUCUCACUUGUCAAGCAUGUGGGGCUCUACAAUGAACCAGGUAUCCACCUGGGAUCUGACCAGGACCAGCCAGAAUCAGUAGGUAAGUUAUGAAGAUAGCAUUGUGUCCAAGCUUUUCACACACAUAUCUCAUGAGCUCUAGGUGGGACAUGCUUGAUCUUGUGCAGAGCCAUCUGGAUCUUAAUGUUGACUUUGUUUAUGUAGAUUCCUCAGGCCCUCAGAGAGUUACUGGCACUUUUCACUUUUGCAUGACUCCACAGUCUACUUAUAAAUGAUAAGUAUGAGGAGUGAGAACAUGCUAGCAAACUCCUUCCAAGGAAACUCAGGGGAAGGAAAUUAUUGCCUGCUUCAUCUUUGAACUCCAGGUCUUGGCCAUCCAAAAUAACAGUAUUUUACAUUUUAUUUUAAUUUUAAAACAAAACUUUCAAAGUGGCCAGUAGACCCAUGUGGAUAAAGCAGAGAGCAUUUCCUUUUGUCUUGUGAGCAGCUGGUCUGAUGCUGGCACAGUAUAUAUUCUGCGUGUUUAUAUUCCUGAAACUGUUGGUAUUACAGUUUGCAUGUCAGCUUGGUCUGUUUCAAGGAGACAGUGAUAAUGUUCCAAUGGAAGAAAGUAGUUAAAAUUUGAC